This 250-nucleotide ribosomal RNA is filed under the name uncultured bacterium. RNAcentral describes it as "partial 16S ribosomal RNA". It matches the Rfam family "Bacterial small subunit ribosomal RNA", at positions 524 to 773 of the family's 1533-position model. The record is from RNAcentral.
UACGUAGGGUGCAAGCGUUAAUCGGAAUUACUGGGCGUAAAGCGUGCGCAGGCGGUUUUGUAAGACAGGCGUGAAAUCCCCGGGCUUAACCUGGGAAUGGCGCUUGUGACUGCACGGCUAGAGUACGGCAGAGGGGGGUGGAAUUCCACGUGUAGCAGUGAAAUGCGUAGAUAUGUGGAGGAACACCGAUGGCGAAGGCAGCCCCCUGGGCCGAUACUGACGCUCAUGCACGAAAGCGUGGGGAGCAAAC